This is a long non-coding RNA of Sarcophilus harrisii (Tasmanian devil), 475 nucleotides long. RefSeq lists it as uncharacterized. Lineage: Eukaryota; Metazoa; Chordata; Mammalia; Dasyuromorphia; Dasyuridae. The record is from RefSeq and is a predicted model, not a curated record. The transcript is spliced from 2 exons.
UUGGCAUAGCCCUUUGCACCCAUUGUUUGGCAAUCCUGAGAGAUCAGCCAUACCGGCCCAGGAAGGGUCUAGAACUGGUACAGCAGGAGGGCUCCUGGGCCACUGGGCUCAUGAUGAGGAGGAAGGUGGCCCAGUUCCUGCCUACACCAUGCCUGGCUACGCCGAGCGAUACUGGGACAUCUCAGAAAUAGCUUCCCACCAAGUUUUUAGGAAGAAGAAGAACUAGGACAGGAUUCUGUGGAUCAUUCAGGUCCUCCUAACUCCCUCUUCCUCCAGACCCCACUCACGGUAACCUUGAGAGACCUGGCUUUCAGAAGAAUUGAAGGCAAAAGCCUGGAUCCCGAAGUCCCAGAUUAUAUCUACUAUUAGCAAUUUGGAAUACAUGCACUGAAAUGCAAUGAGAAAAGUGCCUCGAAUACAAACUCAUCUGCUAGACUACAAAUUGAAAAUCUGAUACCUUAUCAACUCAUUCAAG